Molecule: ribosomal RNA, 595 nt
Filed under: Gardnerella vaginalis
Lineage: Bacteria; Bacillati; Actinomycetota; Actinomycetes; Bifidobacteriales; Bifidobacteriaceae
Description: partial 23S ribosomal RNA
Rfam family: Bacterial large subunit ribosomal RNA
Source: RNAcentral
GACAGGCGUAGUCGAAUGGAUGAACGGGUUGAUAUUCCCGUACCGGUGUUACACCGUUCGAACUGAAUCUGAGAGUACUAACCUUCGUUAUUCUGGUUGAUUAUCUUUCGGGGUUUUCUUCUGGUUUAGUGUUGGGACUGUAUCGGUAGUAGGUUAGCGUGGGAGUGACGCGGGUAGGUAGCCGGCUGCGGAGGUGGUUUUCCGUGGCUAAGCGUGUGGGCUGUCCUCUAGGUAAAUCCGGGGGAUGUUUAAGCUGAGGCGUGAUGGGUAGGCUGUAAGGCUGAUUCCGGUGAUCCUGCUUGCCGAGAAAAGCUUCAACGUGAGGUGUGAUUCCGCUCGUACCCUAAACCGACACUGGUGGUCUGGUAGAGUAUACCGAAGCGAUCGGGCGAAUCCUGGCCAAGGAACUCGGCAAAUUACUCCCGUGCCUUCGGCAUAAGGGAGACCCCUGAUGGUGAUAUGGUUUCACAUUGUUGAGCUGUUGGGGGUGGCACAAGCUAGGGGGUAGCGACUGUUUACCAAAAACACAGGAGCGUGCGAAGGCGUAAGCCGCUGUAUACGCUCUGACGCCUGCCCGGUGCCGGAAGGUUAAGAG